RNAcentral lists this long non-coding RNA (692 nucleotides) under Coturnix japonica (Japanese quail). RNAcentral describes it as "lncRNA (ENSCJPG00005020614.1)". The record is from RNAcentral. Lineage: Eukaryota; Metazoa; Chordata; Aves; Galliformes; Phasianidae.
UUCUCAUUACACCAAAUUUGAUGAAAUGAUUUUAUUUCCAUCCUUAUUUGUGGCAAAACAAAGAGUGCAUCUGUAUGUUUUUAUCCCAAGAAAGAAAGGAAAAAGCCAUGCAUUGCCUCAAAACAUGCUACUGAAAAGUACUUUUGUUACUUCCAAAAUGAGGUUUGGGUCUCAUGUAGCUGCUUUUCAACAAGAACAAGCUAAAAAACACUGUAAUUUUGUAACAGCUAAUUUUUUCUUUUCUAGUUAAAUGAAGGGCUACUUAAAUUGAUAAUUCCUGCUCCAGAAAAAAAAAGACCACCUCAAACAACUUUUUAUUUUGAGAAUGCCGAUGAGAAAAGAAACUUUUCCCUGCAGUGAAAUGUGAGAUUCUGAAAGCCGACAUGCCAUCUUGUCAUCGCCAUACACAAGUGCAGAAUGAAAUGAGUGGAGCAAGUAAACAAAUGAUUGUGCCUCAGAGGGAAUUGAGGAGUUGCUCCGCACCAAAGCAUUCAGAAACCACAGUGGGAAUUGUAAAAAAGAGAAUGAUUUUAUAUUACCAAAGACACCAAGAUUUUUGUGUUAUUCCUACGUUGGGCUCAGCAGGCUGGGUUGCUUUGUAUCAGGAUGAUGCUGACCCUUGGCUUCAGGUCCACUUGGACAACAUGUUGGGCCACCCUCUGUCUGCACUCAAAUGGCCAUCGAAACAUUAA